This 253-nucleotide ribosomal RNA is filed under the name uncultured bacterium. RNAcentral's name for it is "partial 16S ribosomal RNA". It matches the Rfam family "Bacterial small subunit ribosomal RNA", at positions 524 to 776 of the family's 1533-position model. The record is from RNAcentral.
UACAGAGGUCUCGAGCGUUAGGCGGAAUCACUGGGCUUAAAGCGUGCGUAGGCGGUUCGUUGUGUCUGUGGUGAAAGCCCCGGGCUUAACCUGGGAAUGGCCAUGGAAACUGGCGAGCUGGAGUGUGGCAGAGGGGGGUGGAAUUCCGCGUGUAGCAGUGAAAUGCGUAGAGAUGCGGAGGAACACCGAUGGCGAAGGCAGCCCCCUGGGCUAACACUGACGCUCAGGCACGAAAGCGUGGGGAGCAAACAGG